RNAcentral lists this ribosomal RNA (435 nucleotides) under uncultured bacterium. RNAcentral's name for it is "partial 16S ribosomal RNA". It matches the Rfam family "Bacterial small subunit ribosomal RNA", at positions 29 to 507 of the family's 1533-position model. The record is from RNAcentral.
AACGAACGCUGGCGGCAUGCCUAACACAUGCCAGUCGAACGAUUGCCUUCGGGUGAUAGUGGCGCACGGGUGCGUAACGCGUGGGAAUCUGCCCUUAGGUUCGGAAUAACAGCUGGAAACGGCUGCUAAUACCGGAUGAUAUCGCGAGAUCAAAGAUUUAUCGCCUGAGGAUGAGCCCGCGUUGGAUUAGGUAGUUGGUGGGGUAAAGGCCUACCAAGCGGACGAUCCAUAGCUGGUCUGAGAGGAUGAUCAGCCACACUGGGACUGAGACACGGUCCAGACUCCUACGGGAGGCAGCAGUGGGGAAUAUUGGACAAUGGGCGCAAGACUGAUCCAGCAAUGCCGCGUGAGUGAUGAAGGCCCUAGGGUUGUAAAGCUCUUUUACCCGGGAAGAUAAUGACUGUACCGGGAGAAUAAGCCCCGGCUAACUCCGUG